Molecule: long non-coding RNA, 1227 nt
Organism: Tympanuchus pallidicinctus (lesser prairie-chicken)
Lineage: Eukaryota; Metazoa; Chordata; Aves; Galliformes; Phasianidae
Exons: 2
Source: RefSeq, a predicted model, not a curated record
CUGAGGGAGAGAGAAAAGUUAUGCUUUCAUACUACAAAAAAGGCUGGUGGGAACAAAAAAUAAAUGCUCUGGCUUUCCUGUGGAAAAAAGAUUAUUUCUCUAUCCUCUUUGCAUGUGUAAUGCCUUAGGCUAUACAACAAAGAAGUAAGUGCCACUUUAUCUGGUACUGAACUGGCAAGGGGCCAUACCAUUCCUAUUAAAAAAAUAUAGUUCCUUAAAAUUUAUUCUCUCUCAGCUACAAUAAAUUUAGCACUAUCAAGGACACAAAUUCUAGUUACUCAAGUUUUCUGAAGGUUAUCACUCCACAUCAAGAUGACAGGAUUAGUUUAAAAAAAGAGAGUUGCUGAAGAGAAGUGUAAGCCUGAGAGUUGUAAUCUUGAGAGUUCAAGGAAAUAGCCACAGCUCUUAUGAAUUUUUCACUCGUCUUUUAAAAAUCUGCUAGGACACAUGCAAGUGUGUCCUAGAAACAAUAGAUGGAACAAAGGAACAAUAAGAUGCUACAAUGGCCAACAGAUAUUUUUAUGUUUUGGAGGUUUGAAUUUUAUUGUUCUAGUUUGUAGCUAAUGCUUAAAUACUUAAAAUUGUGAUUAGAUCAGUCUGAGUAAUGAUCCUGGCAGAAGUAACGAAACACAGGAAAUCAUCAACCACCACCCAUGCUCUUCCUAAUAUCACAUAACUUACUGUUUUCUUUGGUUCUGUUUAAAGUUUUCCACUGAUUGCUAGUUGCAAACUAGAGUUAAUGAUAACAAAAUACAUACCCACAAAAUUUAUAAUUUCUUUAAGUUCUAACCCACCCUACUUGCAAACUUCAACCUGGCUUUGAGGUUAGGCCUUGAUUUAGGCUUUGGUUUAGAAAAGUGUUGGGCAUGGAGUCUAUGUCAAUUCCUUAAGAAUCAACUACUGAAACUGCGUAGAUUGUGGGUUUAAAUAUUACCUUGAAGCUAAUUAAAUAUUGAAGAUCUCCGUGGAUGUAUCAGUAGACCUGAAUACAAUCCAGUUUAUAUGGGCCAUUCAGAACACAGAGUAAAAAAUUACUGGGACAGCCCAAAUUCCCAAAGGUUUAGUGUAUUACUUCUGUUUGUAUCUUCCUUUAAAAUUUCACUAAGCCAAUUAACACUGGCUUUUUUACCCUUUUUGUUCACGUAUUAUACUCACAGCUAAAGUCAGUCGAUCUCUUUCAACUAAAUCAGCUAGUUUAUUCAAGAGCCUUCCUCGCUCUGAAGCAUC